RNAcentral lists this ribosomal RNA (713 nucleotides) under Brevibacterium epidermidis. RNAcentral describes it as "bacterial SSU rRNA". It matches the Rfam family "Bacterial small subunit ribosomal RNA", at positions 797 to 1506 of the family's 1533-position model. Lineage: Bacteria; Bacillati; Actinomycetota; Actinomycetes; Micrococcales; Brevibacteriaceae. The record is from RNAcentral.
AAGUCGUACGAUUCGGCCUAGGUGUGGGGGAAUUCCACGUUCUCCGCGCCGUAUCUAACGCAUUAAGUGCCCCGCCUGGGGAGUACGGUCGCAAGGCUAAAACUCAAAGGAAUUGACGGGGGCCCGCACAAGCGGCGGAGCAUGCGGAUUAAUUCGAUGCAACGCGAAAAACCUUACCAAGGCUUGACAUACACUGGACCGUUCUGGAAACAGUUCUUCUCUUUGGAGCUGGUGUACAGGUGGUGCAUGGUUGUCGUCAGCUCGUGUCGUGAGAUGUUGGGUUAAGUCCCGCAACGAGCGCAACCCUCGUUCUAUGUUGCCAGCACGUGAUGGUGGGAACUCAUAGGAGACUGCCGGGGUCAACUCGGAGGAAGGUGGGGAUGACGUCAAAUCAUCAUGCCCUUUAUGUCUUGGGCUUCACGCAUGCUACAAUGGCUGGUACAGAGAGAGGCGAACCCGUGAGGGUAAGCGAAUCCCUUAAAGCCAGUCUCAGUUCGGAUCGUAGUCUGCAAUUCGACUACGUGAAGUCGGAGUCGCUAGUAAUCGCAGAUCAGCAGCGCUGCGGUGAAUACGUUCCCGGGCCUUGUACACACCGCCCGUCAAGUCACGAAAGUCGGUAACACCCGAAGCCGGUGUCCCAACCCACUUGUGGGAGGGGGCCGUCUAAGGUGGGACUGGUGAUUGGGACUAAGUCGUACAAAGGGUAAAACAAA